GAGUUUGAUCAUGGCUCAGAAUCAACGCUGGCGGCGUGCCUAACACAUGCAAGUCGCACGAGAAAGUGGAGCAAUCCAUGAGUAAAGUGGCGCACGGGUGAGUAACACGUGAAUAAUCUACCUCCGAGUGGGGAAUAACUGAGAGAAAUCUUAGCUAAUACCGCAUAACACUUACGAGUCAAAGCAGCAAUGCGCUUGGAGAGGAGUUCGCGGCCGAUUAGUUAGUUGGCGGGGUAAUGGCCCACCAAGACGAUGAUCGGUAUCCGGCCUGAGAGGGCGCACGGACACACUGGAACUGAAACACGGUCCAGACUCCUACGGGAGGCAGCAGUGGGGAAUUUUGCGCAAUGGGGGAAACCCUGACGCAGCAACGCCGCGUGGAGGAUGAAAUCCCUUGGGAUGUAAACUCCUUUCGAUAGGGAAGAUAAUGACGGUACCUAUAGAAGAAGCCCCGGCUAACUUCGUGCCAGCAGCCGCGGUAAUACG
RNAcentral lists this ribosomal RNA (486 nucleotides) under uncultured eubacterium WR145. Its description in RNAcentral is "bacterial SSU rRNA". It matches the Rfam family "Bacterial small subunit ribosomal RNA", at positions 9 to 527 of the family's 1533-position model. The record is from RNAcentral. RNAcentral also lists the same sequence under 1 other name.